Molecule: long non-coding RNA, 469 nt
Organism: Pieris napi
Lineage: Eukaryota; Metazoa; Arthropoda; Insecta; Lepidoptera; Pieridae
Exons: 2
Source: RefSeq, a predicted model, not a curated record
CGUUUCCUACUAGAUUUUAAAUAAUUUUGUAACGUAAAUAAACGAACCAACAGAUUUAAGAUACCUAAUUAUUAUACCCUUUUAAUAUUGUUUUCUUUGAAUUUUGUUUUGUGAUGGAGGACGCUUUUAAGAAAUUACAAAGUGUCGGUCAAAACAGUGUUGAUAAUCUCAUAAAAUGGAUGAAGGAUUAAGAAAGGGCGCGUAAGCUAUUUGCCGAUGUUACUGACGUUGCAAACGUGGAGUUGUCAAAAUUCCAAGCGGCGAUAAGCAAACUCGCCACAGAACAGCUGAAGAAUGUUGAUGUUUUCAUGAAGUCGUUGGCAGAUGAGGGACCAAAGUUUUUGGAGGAAGCUGUCAGCUCUGCCGGCUCUGCCGGCUCUGCCAGCUCUGCCAGCUCUGCCAGAUCUGCUUCAAGUGCUUUGACUAGCAGUAGCUGUGAAGCCUAAAUAAAAAUACAUUAUUAUUUAAU